CCUACGGGUGGCAGCAGUGGGGAAUAUUGGACAAUGGGCGAAAGCCUGAUCCAGCCAUGCCGCGUGUGUGAAGAAGGCCUUCGGGUUGUAAAGCACUUUCAGUGGGGAAGAAAGCCUUGGGGCUAAUACCCUCGAGGAAGGACAUCACCCACAGAAGAAGCACCGGCUAACUCCGUGCCAGCAGCCGCGGUAAUACAGAGGGUGCGAGCGUUAAUCGGAAUUACUGGGCGUAAAGCGCGCGUAGGCGGUCUGAUAAGCCGGUUGUGAAAGCCCCGGGCUCAACCUGGGAACGGCAUCCGGAACUGUCAGGCUAGAGUGCAGGAGAGGAAGGUAGAAUUCCCGGUGUAGCGGUGAAAUGCGUAGAGAUCGGGAGGAAUACCAGUGGCGAAGGCGGCCUUCUGGACUGACACUGACGCUGAGGUGCGAAAGCGUGGGUAGCAAACAGGAUUAGAUACCCCGGUAGUC
RNAcentral lists this ribosomal RNA (465 nucleotides) under Vreelandella stevensii. Its description in RNAcentral is "partial 16S ribosomal RNA". It matches the Rfam family "Bacterial small subunit ribosomal RNA", at positions 338 to 795 of the family's 1533-position model. Lineage: Bacteria; Pseudomonadati; Pseudomonadota; Gammaproteobacteria; Oceanospirillales; Halomonadaceae. The record is from RNAcentral.